This 51-nucleotide non-coding RNA is filed under the name unclassified sequences. The record is from RNAcentral.
GAUCUUGGUCGCAGGGCACGACCAACGCAAUCAAAACAACGCUCGCUGAGA